UACGGAGGGUGCAAACGUUGCUCGGAAUCAUUGGGCGUAAAGCGCACGUAGGCGGCUCGUUAAGUCGGAUGUGAAAGCCCUGGGCUCAACCCAGGAAGUGCAUACGAAACUUUCGAGCUUGAAUAUGGAAGAGGGUCGCGGAAUUCCCGGUGUAGAGGUGAAAUGCGUAGAUAUCUGGAGGAACGCCGGUGGCGAAGGCGGCAUCCUGGACCGGCAUUGACGCUGAGGAGCGAAAGCCAGGGGAGCAAACGGG
RNAcentral lists this ribosomal RNA (253 nucleotides) under uncultured bacterium. Its description in RNAcentral is "partial 16S ribosomal RNA". It matches the Rfam family "Bacterial small subunit ribosomal RNA", at positions 524 to 776 of the family's 1533-position model. The record is from RNAcentral.